This 468-nucleotide ribosomal RNA is filed under the name uncultured bacterium. RNAcentral describes it as "partial 16S ribosomal RNA". It matches the Rfam family "Bacterial small subunit ribosomal RNA", at positions 28 to 507 of the family's 1533-position model. The record is from RNAcentral.
GACGAACGCUGGCGGCGUGCUUAACACAUGCAAGUCGAACGGAAAGGCCCUGCUUUUGUGGGGUGCUCGAGUGGCGAACGGGUGAGUAACACGUGAGUAACCUGCCCUUGACUUUGGGAUAACUUCAGGAAACUGGGGCUAAUACCGGAUAGGAGCUCCUGCUGCAUGGUGGGGGUUGGAAAGUUUCGGCGGUUGGGGAUGGACUCGCGGCUUAUCAGCUUGUUGGUGGGGUAGUGGCUUACCAAGGCUUUGACGGGUAGCCGGCCUGAGAGGGUGACCGGCCACAUUGGGACUGAGAUACGGCACAGACUACUACGGGAGGCAGCAGUGGGGAAUAUUGCACAAUGGGCGGAAGCCUGAUGCAGCAACGCCGCGUGCGGGAUGACGGCCUUCGGGUUGUAAACCGCUUUCGCCUGUGACGAAGCGUGAGUGACGGUAAUGGGUAAAGAAGCACCGGCUAACUACGCG